CCUCGCUCUCAUUCCUCCCUUCGUUCGGUACCUACCUUCAUCUUGCGUCUCAUUGCGCAACUUUAUCGACUGGCAGUGGAACCCGGGCUAUUGAGUUGGCCCCUGGGAUCCCUCCAUUGAGGUGGGCUACGGGCCAGUGCUUCGCCCCUCCUUGCCCUGGGCCACCCUCAUUCUCCCAGCACACCUGUACCCCUGAAGGCCCAUCGUGGGAACCCGUCCUCGCUGCCUCUGCCACCUGAGCGGCGGACCGCCGUGCCAGCACGGGCACAUCUGACAACACCACCGGGAGUCGAGUCGAU
Molecule: long non-coding RNA, 299 nt
Organism: Gasterosteus aculeatus aculeatus (three-spined stickleback)
Lineage: Eukaryota; Metazoa; Chordata; Actinopteri; Perciformes; Gasterosteidae
Source: Ensembl